GGUAUGGGGGAGUUGAGGAAUCUUCUUCGUGAGUUGCCAGUUGCAAACUUCAAUCUACUCAACUUUAUCUGCCAGUUUCUAAAUGAGGUCCAGAGUUACUCCAACAGUAACAAGAUGAGCAGCCAGAACUUGGCCACUGUGUUUGGGCCAAACAUCCUCCGAGCCAAAGCUGAAGACCCACAAAGCAUCAUGGGAGGUAAACAUACAAGCUGCACAGCAGAUGAGAUGAGAUGAGAUGUAAAACACAAGCAGUGUAAUUAAUGUUUGGAAAAUACUGAACCUAUGAUGGCAAAUGGAAAGAAGACUAUGCUGCAGUGUUUUUGCAGAUAAAAUUAUUAUUAAAACUGGGUCUCCAUUUUAACCAAUGUGAAUCCAAGCUGAGUAUAGAGUCCACACUCUGAUCUCUAUCUGUGUCCUAGGUGCAACACUGGUUCAGGUGCUGAUGUUGGAGCUGAUCAGAGAGCAUGAGUCUCUAUUCGCCAAAGUCCCCCCGUCCAUCUCUGUCCGUCCACCUUGUGGUUCGCGUGCAUCACCAAGUGCUCUGCGGCAGCCUCAUCUCGACCCGUCACCCUGCCUCCGCCAGCUGUCUAUGCCUCUCAUUGCAGAUCGCUCUAGAGAGCCAGGACAGGCCGCCGCAGAUGCACAGAACAACAGAAGGUACAACACACCCGCUCUCACAGAAAUUUGCAAUACAAACAUCUCACAGACUCAUACCUCCCUUUCUUUGCCAUCUAUAGCUGUUUCUACUCUGCUGCUGCCACAUCAAACUUGUCCUCUGGCCAGAAGAGACUUCUCGGCCAUCGCUACACUUCCUCCCACCCCGAGAACUGCUUUUACCCCGUGCCCUCCUCCAGUCAGCACCAAGCCAACAUAGAUUAUCACCAGCACCACGCUCACCAAGGACCAUCAGCUACAAAUAUUCAAGCCUCUACAACCAGCCUCCAGCUUCAAGAUCCACUACCUGACAGCUCCAAGUCCAGACCGAUGCCCAUGGGAUGGGCAAAGGCCUGGCCAACCCCAGCAGAGGCAGGUGCUGGUUUCUGGAGCUCUGGUGGUGCAGAGGAAGAGGGAACAGUGCCAGAAACAGCCAGCGCAGGCAGCAGUGAGGCUCAGGAGGACAGCCCCCUUUCUGCCUAUGAUAACCUGGACAGAGUGUCUCAAAGUCAGAAAAUAGAGGAUGUCACUGGUGGACUUCUUGAAACCAAUGAUCUGGGAGGCCAUACUGGAACUUGUGAAGUGGAGGUGGAGCUAGAGGAGGCAGGGCAAACAAGGAACUCCUCCUCUUCCUGGUCUUCCUGCGAGGUUCUACCAUUGGACGAGAGCGGUGAUGCUGUGGCCAUGGUUAGUCCUGACAUCUCACCAAAGCGACCUAAAUGGUUGCCUUCAAGUCAGGUAGGAAAAGAGGAAAACAGUCAUAAAGAGGAACAAGAGGGCCAAAACAAUGACAGUGAUGAUGAGGAUGAAGAUGACAAUGAGGAUGAUGAUGAUUACAUCCACCCUAACUCCCCAGCCUCUGGUUCUAUACUCAGCCCUCUGAGUACAGGCAGCUCAGAGGUAUUCCUCCCCUCUGCUCCUCCAGACCUCCAUGAUCCUGAGACUCAGUCACAUCCCGGGGAUGCUCACCCACGUCUGGAUGAGCUGCGGCAGCUGAUGGCCCAGCAGAAGGCUGAGUACCAGGCCAGGAUACAGAGGUUGGAGCGCUGUAAUGACGUCCUCGAGCGGCAGGUUGCAGUACUGCGGGUCAGUCUUGAGCAGCAGAAGCGUAGCCAAAGUGUUGCUGAGAUCAAGAUUCGCAACAUGGAACAAGCCAAAGCUGAUGCUGACCUCCAAAACUCCACGCUGCAGAGAGAGAUGGAGAUGUUCUUCCAGAUGUAUGGAGAGUUCAGAAGAAGAGGAGGAGACGAAGGCGGAAGAGGAGGAGGGAGUCUCUGAAGAUAAAAAGAGAAAGAGGAAUUCUUUGAAGUGCAUGGAUAGGUCAGAGGAGAAUAAAAAAGAAGGGAGGGUUUGUUUCACAGAGCUUGUUGAAAGGGAUGGAUGACUCUUGAUAGGAGAUCCAACAUUAAGGAAGGCGGUGAAGGCAUCACAUCAUGAAGAAAAACAGAGCGUUAUUACAGUCCAGAAGACAACCUAAAUACAAGACAGUUGUGUGUCAUUUCAACCAGUUAGCCUCAAGCCAGGUUGGUUAAGUUCAUGGUGACCAGAAGAUGGCAAGAAAGUUUGAAUUUGAGGAGCAGUUCCAUUGGCAAGCUCCUUCACCUGUGCAUUGAAUAUAACUUCCCCAUCGUGGGCUGUUUGAUUGGUUUAUUGGAGCAACAGAGGGACACGCUUAAGUCUCUUCCUGCUUUACGCAAACCAGUUACCAAGCUGUGUCUUUCCAGGAAGCCUGGGACAAGGUAUUAUUCCACAUAAAACCAAGUCUCCUUUGAGAAACCAAACGCCAUUCUGAGCUGUUCCUGAACAGCAAAGAUCUAGAAGAGUACUGGAAACCAAAAGCUUGUCCGAACUAUUGGACUUUCAAGGUUUCAGAACUGCUGUACUGCUCACACUGACUAUUAUCAUGUUGAUAUGGGGGUUCACAACCCACACAACGGAUCUCAGAUGAUUGCAAGAUUAUUAGUUAGUUAGAGAGAACUGCGACUGGAGUGCAUGAUGCCGGGAUUCCAGCUCAAAGUCAGUACACAUAACGCAAGGGAACACUAGCACGGGUAUUUGCCCUCUUCGAAGCCAUGUGUUGUUUUAGAGUGUUUUCUACCUCCAUUUUUCCCCAAAGCCGAUUUCUUGACAAUCUUAUUGGGUACUGCCCAGACUGUCUCAGAUUUGUCCCCAGGAACAAAUGUAACCUGUUUUUGGCUACAAUAAAAUUAAAAAUGCUCCAUUUGCAACGUUGUAGCAUCUCAGGACAAGAUCAAGAGGCUCAAACUAGACAAAUUGUUGGGAUGGGAAAUAACGUGGAUUCUCUUCCGACUCCAUGGGUUUCAGUCUCAGAUCUCCAAAAUGUAUCUAGGACAAGAAAAUCCUAGCCAAAGUUGUGUUGUCUGCAUUCAACUUCAAAGAACUUCAAUAGUCUCCGAGGACAAUCCUUGAUGUACAAUCCUUUUAGUUUGAAGUUCAUGUGGGAAAUUCAUACAAGAUUUCUCAACCCUGAGGUGUCCUAAGGUCGGUUGUUCACAGCUCAGCUCUGACCAAAGUCAGUGGGAGUUCUGGCUGUGAACAAAAUGCAGCAUUGCAUCUUAUCUUUGCUGUGAUAAAUGGAGGGAUUUAUAUGCAUUAUUAAAGCAAUCUGGUUUACUUUAGGAUAAAGACCUCAGAAUCCCCUGGAUGUUUUCCAACUGGCUACCACUGUUAACAAUAAGAUAUGGACUUGCUACUAUACUAAAUUACUUGUUUUUUUUCAGGAACUAGACUGACUUGCUUUGCAGGAAUUCAUUUAGAAUGAAACUGCAUCUCUAACAGAUUCUAGGUGAAGAUAAUUUUGUUGACUGAAAGUGUACAAAUAAAGAUACCAGAAGUUCUGUUCACUCCGCAUGAAAAUGCUUUCCCAAUAAAACACUGUUACACUUUACCUGAAAAAUAAACUUUAAAUCCUCGUUCACAGAAAAUUCAAUCAAAGAAUCUUUUCAGUGUAUUUGUCAGUUUUGAACAUUCAUGUGUCUAGUGGGGAUUGUUGACUGUAAAAUCAGAUUGUCUUCUGGAAUACACAGGUUGAAAAUAACAGCUGACUUAUUUCAGUUUUGUUUGUCCACAAUAUUCUGUUAAAUGUGACUGAUGUGGAGGAUAAGACCGGCAGAAAGCUCCUCUCCGACUGAUGAUGGAGGAACAGUGAGCUAAAUGCCAAAAAGGACAUUAUAUACCUUCCAUUGAGGAAGCAGUUUUGUUUAUUAUUAUUAUUGAGAUAAACCUGAUUUUCUUUAUUCUUAAUUACGUGCUGUAGAAAAAAUAAGAUGAGACCUUUUGUUACUGAAUGGUGAACUGAUGUCUACACGCUGAAAUAAAUGACUACAGAUCCACAGGGAAUAUUCACAUGGCAGACAGUUUAAUAUAACUGUUCUGCUUGGUCAAACUCAGUGGAAGGAAACAGUGGAGAUGCCAAUCUGCUCUAAAAAAAAGAAGACACUUUUGACUUUUGUUUUUCUGAUGGAAAUGUAACAUUUAUUCUCAAUUUUCAAACUGUUGAGGCAAAGAAAAAGAAAACAGUACAGAGACUAUACAAAUCAAAGAAAAUGUCUCUGAACAUCCACUGGGAAAAAUGUGGAACAGAAACAGAAACUGUAAUAGACUCACACUACCAUACAGAUGUGAUACUUCAGUCAGGGAGAGAUUUAAAGGGAACAGCGUCACUUUAAACACAGAGCACUUGUGAACACAAACUAGGUAACAACAAAAUUGAACAGAGCAGAAACAGUCAUAUUCAUUUAAUAUUUACAGCUGCUGACAGCAGAGUGUGUUUUCUGUCCAGCUUUAAGAUCGUUUGUCAAGAUGAAAAGAAAACUGACAACAUUUGACUGACACCACAGCAGUUACAAGUGGCAAAUUACUUGCAUUUGAAAUAUUUACCCCAUAAAACAGACAACCUCUUCCACUGCUGUGGUACAAUACACAGAUCACGAGCCAACUUAAUAAUGAAAGUGCAAUAACAACAACGACCAGCCCUACAUUUCAUUUAACAGGUGAAUCAUAGUGCUUAUUAAGCAGUUUGAAGCUUCUCACACAGACACAGACACACACACACACACACUCUUGCAGGGACCUUGUAUGAAUAUGCAUUUAUUAGCAGUAAGCUAGCACUUCUAAAAUAAACCCUGUAUUUCAGUCAUUUUAUGUUAUUGUAAGGCAAGGUGUUUCCCUUUUUCUGAGUGACACAAGGUUUCUGCAGGAUGUGGCCAGUGUGCACACCAGUGGUCUCUUCAGUCAGUUAAGCACCAAAACUCAUCAGAAACAGAAACAGGAAUCCUUCAUAUGUGACCAUGGGUAGAAAAAAACAGAGCUCACACACCGAACCUUUAAAAGAGGUUCAAAACCUCUUCUUCUUUUUGGUUCUUUUAACUUCUCUGUUUUGACUCCAGUAAUGGAAACACUGGACCAUGUCAAUGUUUGAGUCUUGAGUCACAUGUAGCUCUGAUUUCUGCACACACACGCACACACCAGGUGGGCAUUUUUUUUCUUCUGAUCCUACAAGGAACAAAAUUUGUUGCUACAGUAGCAGAUAAAAAAAAAAAAAACAUCUUAAUCUCUACAUUAAAACACACAAAAGUAUAAUGCAAAACAAAUGGAACGUUUCAGUGAGCAGGAGUCUGCCAAAUUUCCAAGAUUUCCUGAGACAAAAUUUGUACAAUUUUCUAUGGAUCUUUUUUGUUCUGUUGGUUUUAUUCGUAUUAAACUACACUUAAGCCAUUUGUUAGACGUAUUAAUCCCACCCUGCUUAGUGAAAUGCCCCUUUAAGAAGACAAUGAAAAAGAGACAGACAGGAUGUAAAGACUAUCAACUCUGAAGCAGAGGAGGUUUUUUAUCACAUUACUUUGCACCCUGGUGAGCAGAUAAUAGAGCUAGUCUCUGUGGUGGGAAGAGUGGGGAUAAAGUGCAUUUACAGGGAUA
This 5592-nucleotide long non-coding RNA is filed under the name Dicentrarchus labrax (European seabass). Its description in RNAcentral is "lncRNA (ENSDLAG00005030963.1)". Lineage: Eukaryota; Metazoa; Chordata; Actinopteri; Moronidae. The record is from RNAcentral.